GAUGAAGAACGCAGCGAAAUGCGAUAAGUAAUGUGAAUUGCAGAAUUCAGUGAAUCAUCGAGUCUUUGAACGCACAUUGCGCCCCCUGGUAUUCCGGGGGGCAUGCCUGUCCGAGCGUCAUUGCUGCCCUCAAGCACGGCUUGUGUGUUGGGCCCCGCCCCCCGGCUCCCGGGGGGCGGGCCCGAAAGGCAGCGGCGGCACCGCGUCCGGUCCUCGAGCGUAUGGGGCUUCGUCACCCGCUCCGUAGGCCCGGCCGGCGCCCGCCGGCGACCCCCCUCAAUCUUUUCAGGUUGACCUCGGAUCAGGUAGGGAUACCCGCUGAACUUAAGCAUAUCAAUAAGCGGAGA
Molecule: unclassified non-coding RNA, 347 nt
Filed under: soil metagenome
Description: partial contains 5.8S ribosomal RNA, internal transcribed spacer 2, and large subunit ribosomal RNA
Rfam family: 5.8S ribosomal RNA (bases 1-120)
Source: RNAcentral